RNAcentral lists this long non-coding RNA (223 nucleotides) under Elaeis guineensis (African oil palm). RNAcentral describes it as "long non-coding RNA (EGUI_LNC024882)". The record is from RNAcentral. Lineage: Eukaryota; Viridiplantae; Streptophyta; Magnoliopsida; Arecales; Arecaceae.
GCAACUACAAGAUCGGAUAUUUUGAGAUGGCAAAGAUUAUUUAGGCAUGAGCAAAGAUUGUUUAGGCAUAAAGAAUCAUCAUUAGAAAGUGCCUUUUAAUCUAAGCUUAAGAUAUUUGAUAAAAGUUUUCAAAAAGAAUCGUCUAGUCAUGCACAAGUUAAAGGGAAGUCAUUCAGAGGUGGAAAUCAAAAUAGAGGAAGAUGAAGAAAUAUGAGAGGAGGAA